ACGGGUGAGUAACGCGUGGGAACCUACCCAGAACUUCGGAAUAACACAUGGAAACGUGUGCUAAUACCGGAUACGCCCUACGGGGGAAAGAUUUAUCGGUUUUGGAUGGGCCCGCGUAAGAUUAGCUAGUUGGUGAGGUAAUGGCUCACCAAGGCGACGAUCUUUAGCUGGUCUGAGAGGAUGAUCAGCCACACUGGGACUGAGACACGGCCCAGACUCCUACGGGAGGCAGCAGUGGGGAAUAUUGGACAAUGGGCGCAAGCCUGAUCCAGCCAUGCCGCGUGAGUGAUGAAGGCCUUAGGGUUGUAAAGCUCUUUCAGUAGGGAAGAUAAUGACGGUACCUACAGAAGAAGCCCCGGCUAACUUCGUGCCAGCAGCCGCGGUAAUACGAAGGGGGCUAGCGUUGUUCGGAUUUACUGGGCGUAAAGCGCACGUAGGCGGAUCGUUAAGUUAGGGGUGAAAUCCUGGAGCUCAACUCCAGAACUGCCUCUAAUACUGGCGAUCUAGAGUCCGGAAGAGGUGAGUGGAACUCCUAGUGUAGAGGUGGAAAUCGUAGA
RNAcentral lists this ribosomal RNA (557 nucleotides) under uncultured bacterium. RNAcentral's name for it is "bacterial SSU rRNA". It matches the Rfam family "Bacterial small subunit ribosomal RNA", at positions 102 to 694 of the family's 1533-position model. The record is from RNAcentral.